RNAcentral lists this ribosomal RNA (377 nucleotides) under uncultured eukaryote. Its description in RNAcentral is "partial 18S ribosomal RNA". It matches the Rfam family "Eukaryotic small subunit ribosomal RNA", at positions 592 to 976 of the family's 1831-position model. The record is from RNAcentral.
CAAUAGCGUAUAUUAAAGUUGUUGCAGUUAAAAAGCUCGUAGUUGGAUUUCGGGGCAGCCUGGCUGGUCCGCCGCAAGGCGAGUACUGGUCAGCCGCCCUUCCUCUCGAAAGCCCCGACUGCUCUUCGUUGCAGUGGUCGGGUAGUUCGGGACGUUUACUUUGAAAAAAGUAGAGUGUUCAAGGCAGGCCUACGCCUGAAUACAUUAGCAUGGAAUAAUGGAAGAGGACCUCGGUCCUAUUUUGUUGGUUUCCAGGGCCGAAGUAAUGAUUAAGAGGGACAGUUGGGGGCAUUCGUAUUUAAUUGUCAGAGGUGAAAUUCUCGGAUUUAUGAAAGACGAACAACUGCGAAAGCAUUUGCCAAGGAUGUUUUCAUUAA